RNAcentral lists this ribosomal RNA (375 nucleotides) under uncultured bacterium. Its description in RNAcentral is "bacterial SSU rRNA". It matches the Rfam family "Bacterial small subunit ribosomal RNA", at positions 518 to 898 of the family's 1533-position model. The record is from RNAcentral.
CGGUAAUACGUAGGGGGCAAACGUUGUCCGGAUUUACUGGUGUAAAGGGUGCUCAGGCGGUUUUGUAAGUCAGUAGUGAAAUCCUAGAGCUUAACUCUGGAACUGCUUUUGAUACUGCAAGGCUUGAAUGUGGAAGAGGAGGAUGGAAUUUCUGGUGUAGCAGUGAAAUGCGUAGAUAUCAGAAAGAACACCAGUGGCGAAGGCGGUCCUCUGGUCCACUAUUGACGCUAAAGCACGAAAGCGUGGGGAGCAAACAGGAUCAGAUACCCUGGUAGUCCACGCCUUAAACGAUGAAUACUAGACGUUGGGGUUAAACUCAGUGUCGCAGCUAACGCAUUAAGUAUUCCACCUGGGGAGUACGAUCGCAAGGUUGAA